AUACGGAGGGUGCAAGCGUUAUCCGGAUUUAUUGGGUUUAAAGGGUCCGUAGGCGGAUCCGUAAGUCAGUGGUGAAAUCUCGCAGCUUAACUGUGAAACUGCCAUUGAUACUGCAUGUCUUGAGUAAAUUUGAAGUGGCUGGAAUAAGUAGUGUAGCGGUGAAAUGCAUAGAUAUUACUUAGAACACCAAUUGCGAAGGCAGGUCACUAAGAUUUAACUGACGCUGAUGGACGAAAGCGUGGGUAGCGAACAGGAUUAGAUACCCUGGUAGUCCACGCCGUAAACGAUGCUAACUCGUUUUUGGGCUUUAGGGUUCAGAGACUAAGCGAAAGUGAUAAGUUAGCCACCUGGGGAGUACGUUCGCAAGAAUGAA
This 373-nucleotide ribosomal RNA is filed under the name uncultured bacterium. RNAcentral describes it as "bacterial SSU rRNA". It matches the Rfam family "Bacterial small subunit ribosomal RNA", at positions 523 to 898 of the family's 1533-position model. The record is from RNAcentral.